AUCCAGAGAUGGAUGGUUCCCUUCGGGGACGCAGUGACAGGUGCUGCAUGGCUGUCGUCAGCUCGUGUCGUGAGAUGUUCGGUUAAGUCCGGCAACGAGCGCAACCCACGUCCUUAGUUACCAGCAUUUAGUUGGGUACCCUAAGGAGACCGCCGGUGAUAAGCCGGAGGAAGGUGUGGAUGACGUCAAGUCCUCAUGGCCCUUACGGGUUGGGCUACACACGUGCUACAAUGGCAUUUACAGAGGGAAGCGAGACAGUGAUGUGGAGCGGACCCCUUAAAGAAUGUCGUAGUCCGGAUUGGAGUCUGC
Molecule: ribosomal RNA, 309 nt
Filed under: Palpitomonas bilix
Lineage: Eukaryota
Description: partial Bacterial small subunit ribosomal RNA
Rfam family: Bacterial small subunit ribosomal RNA
Source: RNAcentral